Molecule: ribosomal RNA, 565 nt
Filed under: Pristimantis aff. cruentus BOLD:AAB3754
Lineage: Eukaryota; Metazoa; Chordata; Amphibia; Anura; Strabomantidae
Description: partial 16S ribosomal RNA
Rfam family: Bacterial large subunit ribosomal RNA
Source: RNAcentral
CACCUCUUGCUCAACCAUAAGAGGCCCAGCCUGCCCAGUGACCCUGUUCAACGGCCGCGGUAUCCUAACCGCGCGAAGGUAGCGUAAUCACUUGUUUUCUAAAUAAAGACUAGUAUGAAAGGCAUCACGAGAUUUAAACUGUCUCCUUUCCCUAAUCAGUGAACCUAAUCUCCCCGUGAAGAAGCGGGGAUAACCUUAUAAGACGAGAAGACCCUGUGGAGCUUAAAACUAUUAAACACGUGCUGCCCCAUUCUUACACCAAGGCCAUCACCUACUCACAGCACGUUGAUUUUACGUUUUUGGUUGGGGUGACCGCGGAGAACAAAAUACCCUCCGCGAUGAACGGGACUACUCCCUAAAUAAUAAGCCACAACUUAAUCUAUCAAUAAAUUGACAUUCAUUGACCCAAUAUUUUGAUCAACGAACCAAGUUACCCCAGGGAUAACAGCGCAAUCCACUUUUAGAGCUCCUAUCAACAAGUGGGCUUACGACCUCGAUGUUGGAUCGGGAUAUCCCAGUGGUGCAGCCGCUACUAAAGGUUCGUUUGUUCAACGAUUAAAAUCCC